GGGAUUUAUUCACGGAGAAGAAAAAUUGGCUAUAUUUUAAUUUCGUUUCCCACUAAAUUUCACCCUGCUUUGAUAUGAUUUCUACUAGUUUUUAAACAAACCGACUCGUUACUCACCACCCGAAAAUACAUUGUACCACCGCAGAACAACUUGGAGAUAAAUUUACCCCCAAUACUGUCGUCAUCCACAAAUUUGGGAAUAAGGAGGCCGGAAAAAUAUCCAAGUUUGAAGAUGAACCAUUUAUACGACCAAUCUCAACACCGGAACUACCAUUUUAUGGAAGACGCGACGAAUUGGGGAAAUUGGAGGAAUCCUUCUCAAAUUGCGAGCUUCAAUCGCAAUACGUCUAUAUAACUGGACCUCCCGCAAUUGGCAAGUCGGAAUUAAUUUGUAAAUUCAUUAAAUCUAAAUGUAACACUAAUUUUUCUUGGAUUGAAUGAGAAAAUGGGGUAUUUUCUUGGUAUCAAUUAUACUAUAGUUUAAUUCGUCACAACUCAAGAAUUACCUCCACCCAUUGAACCGUUAAAACUGAGUCGAAACGAAUUGUGAGUGAAAUUACUAGAGAAAAGUAUUGGGUUUGUAUUUGAGACAAUUUGUCACGUCGAACUAGAGAUUUUGAACAGUUUCUUUACGAAUUUCACAACUUUAGCAAAAUUUUUAUCGUGUUAACUAGUCGAAGUAGUAAUUUGCUUAGUAAAUACGCGAGGAAUAUGAGACACAUAAAUUUAGCGGUUGUAGGUCGAAUUGCAUAAUUUUUUAGGGAUAAUGCAAUAUGGUAUAAUUUUUUUUGGCAUAAAACAAAUUGGUAUAAUGGUAUAUAAGGGAUAAUUAAAAAAGGGAUAAUUAUACGAAAAUCAAAAUUAAAUUUUAAAUUAACUUUUAAACUUAAUUCUUCACAAUUUUAAUUUCCAAUACCCUUGAGAUAGUCGAAAGUGUCAAGAUCAGUGUUGUAUGAUUCUAAGUACAAUCAAGAGGAGUCGCUUAUCCAGGUCCCUGUGAAUUUUACGCUGUGGCUCGACUUGCCCAGAUGUCAAUUUUUCGAUUUCCAAAUUCCAAUGGCUUUGGUCAUUUUUUAAAAUUUCAAUGGCUUUCCGCAUUGUAUUUAUGCGUAAAUGCCAACCCAGCAUUGUUGGUACGAGGGACUUUGUCGUGAUAUCUAGAGUAUCAGUUCAUCGUUCAUGGGGACAAAGGCCAAUUCAAUCUGACCUUUCAGGGUUAGGGAAAUGUAGGUAGAGAAUGUGAUACCGUUGUUUUAAAUUUUCCUUUGCCUUCGUACAAAAUUAAUCGCCCUUUGAAUCCUCUAUUUCUGUCCGUGCAAAUAUGUAAUUCCUGCGGUUGUUUUUUUGGUACAAGUAGCGUUUUCAGUGGACAUGGUUGUGACUGGAGUGCAAUUCGAGUGAAUGUAGAAUGCAAGGAAAGAAGGAAUGGAAUGAAUUAUGGUCCCUUUAAAGCUUAAAAUAUAAUUAUCCCUAAUAGAAUUAUCCCUGAGUUUCAUUAUACCAAAUGGUUCCCUUAAAUUAUACCAACAUUAUUAUACCAAAUCAAAUUAUACCAAAUUGUCGUUAUACCAAAAAAAUUAUGCAAUUCGACCGCACACCAAAUUUAGCAGGCUUAAAUUUUUUGGAUAUCGCCGAAGUUCUGCCGGACAUUGAAAGUUGCGCCUGCAAAGAAUUGUGCAACCUUUUGCACGGCCACCCUCUAGCUUUACAUCAUUUCAUAUCUUUUCUCAACAUCCAAUAUCCAAGUUGUACAAAUUUUAACAGCGAUCAAAUCACACAUUGUCUCAGAAUUUAUAAGAAUAAUCCCCUGGAAAUAUUGGAGUCAUCAUUAUUUCCAAAUUUUCCAGCUUCUUGUGCAUGUUCAGUAAUUUUUAAAUUUUCUGAAGUCCUGGAUAAAAUAAAAUGGGGGAUUAAGUAUACGCGAAAAGUCUCAAAUUUGGUCUUCCUCCUGUCUCGCUCUGGUCCCGAUGGGAUUUCGAUUAAGCUCUUUCUCAAAAUGCAGACCAUGAUGGGAUUUAAGAUGGACGGCAGAAUGUUGAGGUUAAUGGAAAAAUUUAAGAACCAGUCAGUAAUCGUAGCGCAAAAUGGGAAGCUAAUAGUUCAUCCGAUAUUCGUUCUCAUACUGGAACGGGAAAUUAGGGAGCACGAUAUUUCCUUAAAAUUUGUGGAAGUGAAAAAUUACGAUGUUAUCUUUGAGCCGGACGAGGUUAAGGAGCUGGAAAGAUUAGGAUUGGCAAAUAUCGUAGGGGAUGAUAAUCAAGAUAACCAAGAAUUGUUUGUGGGUGGUGAAUACUUACGUUAUACAUUUUUCGUAACUAUUCUUCAAUACUUUGGCAUAUUUUUGUUGUUACGUCUCUGCAAAUCGUUCGUAAAUAAAUUAUUUACGCGAGGUUAAGCUGCUGCAAUAAUUACUAAGGUGCAUAUUUGUUAAUUCAAAGUCGAUAUUCAUUCAAUUAAUCCCAUUAAUUCAAUUAAUGAUAAUUACUUUAACUAUUACCGAAUACACUUAUAAUUAUUAUCCAAUGUAGAUAUUAAAUAAUUUGAAAUGUUUAUCCCAAAAACUGUACACAUUUCGCUGAAUGGUUGUAAACAUGGAAAUGCAAAUACAUACAUAUGUACGUAAUGAUAUGAAAUGUUGCCAAUAAAAAGAGGGGUUUCCUGUGUUGGCGAAUUCGCUCCAAUUGAAA
Molecule: long non-coding RNA, 2686 nt
Organism: Folsomia candida
Lineage: Eukaryota; Metazoa; Arthropoda; Collembola; Entomobryomorpha; Isotomidae
Exons: 2
Source: RefSeq, a predicted model, not a curated record